RNAcentral lists this unclassified non-coding RNA (248 nucleotides) under fungal sp. RNAcentral's name for it is "partial contains small subunit ribosomal RNA, internal transcribed spacer 1, and 5.8S ribosomal RNA". The stretch from base 1 to 47 matches the Rfam family "Eukaryotic small subunit ribosomal RNA", at positions 1785 to 1831 of the family's 1831-position model. Lineage: Eukaryota; Fungi. The record is from RNAcentral.
AAAGUCGUAACAAGGUUUCCGUAGGUGAACCUGCGGAAGGAUCAUUAAAGUAUAUUGAAUUCUAAUUCAUGUCUACCCACUCUGUGUACCUUCUUACUGUUGCUUCCAUGGGACUUGGCUACGCCACGUCGGCCUCUGGGCUGGUGAGCUCCCGUGGGAGGAAAUCAAAACUACCCUUUGCACAUGAAGUCUGUCUGAAGUGUUUGUUAUGAACGUUAAAACUUUCAACAACGGAUCUCUUGGUUCUC